AUUGCACUUGUCCCGGCCUG
RNAcentral lists this non-coding RNA (20 nucleotides) under Tribolium castaneum (red flour beetle). Its record names the gene tca-miR-92b-3p. RNAcentral also lists the same sequence under 1 other name. Lineage: Eukaryota; Metazoa; Arthropoda; Insecta; Coleoptera; Tenebrionidae. The record is from miRBase by way of RNAcentral.